Molecule: long non-coding RNA, 1989 nt
Organism: Apodemus sylvaticus (European woodmouse)
Lineage: Eukaryota; Metazoa; Chordata; Mammalia; Rodentia; Muridae
Exons: 3
Source: RefSeq, a predicted model, not a curated record
GAAUAGACAGGUCAAUAAAAAAACACGGAGCUUCAGAUUUGUGUCAAUAACCCCAAAACACUGAAGCCACAAAGAUUCCUAACUUAUGGGAAAGGGAAGUAGAAGUUGAUUGGUUAAGAAAGGUAAGUACCCUGACUGCUCAUUAAGGAAAUGCACAGGCCUGACUUUACAUAGUAACAAGUUCCACUGUAAAUCCCCUAACUAUAAGCAUUUGAAAAGCACAGCACAUGGACUUUGAGACCCAUGUUUAUUCUGUCAAUGGGUGUGUUGAGGGAGCUUGUGGCCAUCUCACUAGUCCCAGCAAACUUCACUGCAGCCCCUGGGUGCCAGCAUUGGCCAGACAGUUUGGUACAUGAUGAAGUUUUUGAGCAGACUGUGGUUAAGCUAGGUCAGGGGGGAAAGGGAAGGGGUUAGAACCCCAUAGAACCUCUCAAUUCCUGGAGGACCCAGCAUCCCAGGAGCAAGGUGGCUGGUGACUGAAGGGAUGAAGCAGAGUGGAGUGGGGCAGGUAGGGGUAGGCUGAGUGGAGCUACAGGGAUUCCCUCCGCCAGCGCAGAGACCUUGAAGGCCAUUCCCCACAAGGUAAUUCCCUGUUCCUCAGCAAGAUUCUUGAAAUCUCAUACCAGGAGUUUACAGUCACCAUUGACACCCUGCCUCCUACAAUCUCCUCUGCCUGACACACAGGACACAGGACAGUGCAGUCCUCAUGGCAGGUCCCAAUCCCCAGAGCUCCACACAGCACACGGCAGAGCAGGUCCUCCAUAGUGCCAGAUGAAGGAAUGGAGGAGACAAUCAAUGAAGGAAUGGGGCAAGGGUCAAAGUCCAGAUGGCAAGCAAACGGCUGUGAAUCAUCUCUGCGGGUCAGGCUCGAAAAUGUCAACGGUCCAAGUGGGUAAGGGGACUCCGGCAGACAGCACCCACCCAGCUCCAUAUGUAGGUACACACAAAAGAGCACACCACAGAUACUCAGUCUUUGGGAGAACCAGAAACCUGAGGGUUUUGAGCAAUUUCCUGGUUUUUAAGUACUGACUAACAGCUCUUUCCUUUCUUGGGAACACACAUGGCCCAGUGGACUAAAGUCAGCUGAUCAUUGACAGUCUGGAAUUAAGCUCCAGAAAUCUGGGGGCACCGACUCUCCUCACUCGUGUCUUUGCUGGAAGAGACAAGGGCAAGCAGAACUACCAUUCCUGCUUGCACAAGUGGAAUCACAGUAGCACGUGCCCCAGUGCCUCACCUUGCAGCCUCUCAGCAGCUGUACACAUCUGCCAGCUGAAUCCUAGAGAACUCCCUCAGUCCCUGACCACAGUAUGCCCUCACCUCAACCUUCCUCUUGACCCUCCCACUGACAGCCCGACAAGACCCCCUCAACUUAGCUAGCCUGUCCCUGGGCACUCGGAGAAGGACACAAAUGCUGCCUUCCUCCACCUCCAUGAAGGGGCAUGACUCUGAUGACUGCCACAGGCCAUGGGAUGGCUGAGGUCCAGAAGCGCCUCCUCAGAGGAAAUCUGGUGGAACGCACACCAAGCUCAGCCAGGGUGAGCCACAGAAGCUCUAUGAAGUUUCCCAACAGUGCCGUUCGGAUGAGACACUGUAAGGAGCUCCUAAGCGGUGCUGCACAGAUGGGCCGGAGAUAUUUCCAGAGCAGCACGUAUUCAGGAAAGCGACUCAUAGUCACUAGACAAGGCCCCGGGGCAAGCGGACACGGGACAAACACCCCAGAAACAGCAUCUAAAAACGAACAGUCCAGCCAUGAGAAUGGUAUCCUGCUUCCUGUCAGAAGACAGAUGUCAAUGUUACCUAUGAUGCCCCUUGCUGGGUGAGCUACAAAAACUCACUGUGCCUCUCUGGGUCUGCACUCUGCCAGGCAAUCUUCAAGCACUUUUAAUAAACAACACAACCCAGAGAGCAAACACAGAGUGAAGACACAGAGUGAAGACUCAAUAAAGAGUACCAAAACGUUCUUCCCUGUGUUUAAACCGGGUUUGCAAA